UGUCAUACAGUGAAAUUUAAUUCAGCAAAAAAAAAAAAAAAUGAAAAGAGUACUGAUUCAUGCUGCAAUGUGGAUGAACCUUGAAAAGAAGGAAAGUGAAAGAAGUCAGACUCAAAAGAUCAGUUAGUGUAUGAUCCCAUUUAUAUGAAAUAUCCAGACUAGAUAAAUCUAUAGAGACAGAAUGCAGAUCGUCAUUUUGCAGGGAUUGUAGGCAGGGAGGAAUGGGGAAGAACAGCUUAAUAGGAACAAGGUUAUACUUUGUAAUGGAAAUGCUUUGGAAGUAGUAGAUGAUGAACAACAUGGUGUGAAUGUACUAAAUGCCACUGAAUUAUUUUCUUCAAAAUGAUUCAUUUCUUAUUAUGUGAACUUCAUCUCAAUAAAUUAUUAAACAGGGAAAAAAAAUCCCUUCUCUCAGGGCUCAGCUCAAAUGCCACCCACUCUCAGACAUUUCCUUUGAUUCUGGCAGCUGGAGGUGGCCUUUGUGACUUUCUCGGUUCACCUUCUUUGGCUUCCAGUGCUUUGUCUCCUGUGUGUUGUCCUUCUGUCCCUCCUGACACAGAGCAUGGGUCCAGGGUCUGGAUCACCUUCCCAUGCUCUGGGGCCCACACUUCCUCUUUAGCCUUGCUGCUCAUGCCCCUGCAGCUCCUACUAUGGGCCUAGAGUUCAGAUUUGAUUGUCUUUUUGCAGCCAUUACAGUAAAUCUGUGAAUGGAGAAACAAAGAACAUGGGAACUUGGAGCCGGCCAGACCUGCAAGACCUUGUGUGUAUUACUUAACAUUUCGAGGGCUAAGAUUUUUUUGUCUGAAAUUGGAGUGCCUGUGCCAUAGUGCUGACAUGUUAGACAAGCAAGCCGGAGUAGUGUGUGUAACUCUUGACUUGUCCAGGCAGCAUCUGUCUUCCCUUCCUUUUCAAACUGUGAUACAGAACCCAAGCAUGCUCUCCAAGGGAUUUACCCAGGACAUGGCUCUUCCUCUAGAUAUGGUUGGGUUUAUUACUGUCUGCCCCUGAAACAGACUUCAUAGCAGAGGUACUGACCAUUCAUGGGAUAGGAUAUCCCUCAUGCAGAUUCUGUAGUUUUAAUUUGAGAGAAAGUUCAUGGGCCCAGGCUGGAUCACCAGCAGCAGCCCCAAGACAGUCAUGGUGGUUCAGUGCACUUAUUUAG
This 1162-nucleotide long non-coding RNA is filed under the name Marmota monax (woodchuck). The record is from RNAcentral. Lineage: Eukaryota; Metazoa; Chordata; Mammalia; Rodentia; Sciuridae.